Molecule: small RNA, 151 nt
Filed under: human gut metagenome
Description: Clostridiales-1 RNA
Rfam family: Clostridiales-1 RNA
Source: RNAcentral
AUCAAGUCAGAAAUCAUUCCUGCUUGCAGGAUAAGAAUUCUGGCUUGUUGACCCGCUCACACAUGAGGAAGUAGCGAUUUUUCUUGGAAAAUCAGCGGAUUUUGAAUGGGUGUAGAAUUGCGUGAGCUGCAUGGCAGCGGAGCAAUUCGUG